Molecule: ribosomal RNA, 253 nt
Filed under: uncultured Eubacteriales bacterium
Lineage: Bacteria; Bacillati; Bacillota; Clostridia; Eubacteriales
Description: uncultured Clostridiales bacterium partial 16S ribosomal RNA
Rfam family: Bacterial small subunit ribosomal RNA
Source: RNAcentral
UACGUAGGUGGCGAGCGUUGUCCGGAAUAACUGGGCGUAAAGGGAGCGUAGGUGGUUGAUUAAGUUAAAUGUGAAAGCCCAGGGCUCAACUCUGGAACUGCAUUUAAUACUGGUCGGCUAGAGUACAGGAGGGGUAAACGGAAUUUCUAGUGUAGCGGUGAAAUGCGUAGAUAUUAGGAAGAACACCGGAGGCGAAGGCGGCCUGCUGGACGAUGACUGACGUUGAGGCUCGAAAGCGUGGGGAGCGAACAGG